This 468-nucleotide ribosomal RNA is filed under the name uncultured bacterium. RNAcentral's name for it is "partial 16S ribosomal RNA". It matches the Rfam family "Bacterial small subunit ribosomal RNA", at positions 28 to 507 of the family's 1533-position model. The record is from RNAcentral.
GACGAACGCUGACGGCGUGCUUAACACAUGCAAGUCGAACGGAAAGGCCCUGCUUUUGUGGGGUGCUCGAGUGGCGAACGGGUGAGUAACACGUGAGUAACCUGCCCUUGACUUUGGGGUAACUUCAGGAAACUGGGGCUAAUACCGGAUAGGAGCUCCUGCUGCAUGGUGGGGGUUGGAAAGUUUCGGCGGUUGGGGAUGGACUCGCGGCUUAUCAGCUUGUUGGUGGGGUAGUGGCUUACCAAGGCUUUGACGGGUAGCCGGCCUGAGAGGGUGACCGGCCACAUUGGGACUGAGAUACGGCCCAGACUCCUACGGGAGGCAGCAGUGGGGAAUAUUGCACAAUGGGCGGAAGCCUGAUGCAGCAACGCCGCGUGCGGGAUGACGGCCUUCGGGUUGUAAACCGCUUUCGCCUGUGACGAAGCGUGAGUGACGGUAAUGGGUAAAGAAGCACCGGCUAACUACGUG